CAGGGAGACAACAAAAUGUUUAAUAUUAUUAUUUUGUCACCUUAGGUCGAUCGGUAUCUCACGUUCUUAAUUUAUUAAGAAUUUCAUUUCCUAAGUUUUUCUAGGUCACACCCAUUAUUUUCCUGGGCCAUUAGCUCAGGUGGUUAGAGCGCACCCCUGAUAAGGGUGAGGUCCCUGGUUCAAGUCCAGGAUGGCCCAUAUCUCUAUGUUGGGGGUAUAGCUCAGUUGGUAGAGCGCCUGCUUUGCAAGCAGGAUGUCAGCGGUUCGAGUCCGCUUACCUCCACUGAUUACCACCUCUUCCAUAAUUUAUAGAAAGGAAAAUUUUUGAGUUGUGAUCAUUAUUCUGAACGAAUCUAGCUUCCUAAUGAAGUCAUUAAGAUGCUGGACUCAUUGAAUUAAUUUCAUUGUUUUCAGAGAACCUUGACAACUGCAUAGAUUAUUUUUAAAGACAAUAAGCAUCUUUUAAUGAUGCAGAUUUAUUAUUUGUGCAAAUGCAUUAAUAACAAUUCUAUUGAGCUGAUGCUUCAAUUUUGAAGUUAUU
Molecule: transfer RNA, 541 nt
Filed under: uncultured Prochlorococcus sp.
Lineage: Bacteria; Bacillati; Cyanobacteriota; Cyanophyceae; Synechococcales; Prochlorococcaceae
Description: partial 16S-23S ribosomal RNA intergenic spacer
Rfam family: tRNA (bases 211-283)
Source: RNAcentral